GAAAUCAUUACUUUAGUCUAAAGUAGGAAGGGAAAUUGCACUAUUCAUAUGAACAGUGACUUGGGAUGGAUUUUGAGUUAUUUACAAAAUUGCCAUCGCCUUUUCCGUCCGUUUCCAUCCCCUUUUCAUUCCCUCUUUUUCUCUCCCGAGUCUCUCUGUGUAACCAUCCAUCGAAUCCCCCAUCCCUCCCUUUUCUCACUCUGUAAUUUCCCUCAAAUCCCUCGCCGAUUCUCUCUCGCCAUUCUCAGUCUACCCUUUCUCAGCUUGCAGCUCCAUGCUCCACCUCGAGAUUAUAGCAUCCCUCCCUUUUCUCACUCUGUAAUUUCCCUCAAAUCCCUCGCCGAUUCUCUCUCGCCAUUCUCAGUCUACCCUUUCUCAGCUUGCAGCUCCAUGCUCCACCUCCAGAUUAUAGCAUCGGGUGUAAGGUUUUCCUUUUCUGUUUUCUUUUUCCCGAUUUGUUGAAUUUGUAUUUUAUUGUUUGCCUAUUACCCUUUGACGACAAGGUAGCAAUUGUGACGGCUUCCACUCAAGGCAUCGGCUCUUGAAGGCGCCUCCGUCGUCAUCUCCUCCCGCAAGCGUUGUAGAGUUUACCUUUUGAUUUGUAUGUGUUUCGAAGCCUGUGUUGAACUAUCUUAUUAAUAAAGUUUCUAAGGUUGUAGAGUUUACCUUUUGAUUUGUAUGUGUUUCGAAGCCUGUGUUGAUCCGUUUCGGAAUUGCAGUCGUUGAUAAGAUAGUUCUAAUGGUAAUUGUUUUAUCUUUCAUUAGGUGAACUUGGAACAUCUGGCAAAUUGGGAAGAGAAGCAGAUGUUCAAACAGUAAAUGGGUGUGUGUGUUUACAGAUGUGUGGAUGCAUUUAGUUUAUCUUCUCCAAAAGCAUCUUUAUAAUGAAGAUAACAUGAAUUUGCUAGGGUUUUUUUUUCAUUUUUUAUAUUUUGGGUAGAAAUUUGUUGUUGUUGUUUCUUACAAUUUGAGUAGAAAUUUGUUUCCAUUUUAGUAGGUUCAUGGAAGAUCACAGUACAGCUAGCUUCCCGUUGAAAAGUAAGCUUCUAUUGUAUUAGCUUGGGGCAGUUUAAUUUACUUGCCAGAAAAGAAAAAGUUAUAAAGCCUUGUUCCUGCUGUUGUGGUGUCUCCUUUUAGGUAGAAAUUAUAUCUUAAUGUGCUUAAGCACCUGAAUUUAGGCUAGGUCUAAUGAAAUGAUAUGCUAUAUUUUAUAGAUCAGUCACAAUAUUUUUGAACCUGAGGUUGUGGUGUUCACACUUUUUCUCUUAGGAUUUAGAGGACGAUACAGUGUGUGUAUGAUCUAAUUUGAGUGAAAUAUCCUUCUUGAUUUGCCUUAUUCUUUCAAGUGUUAUCAUAACUUUGUGUGUGAUUGAUCAUUGUGUAUAACCAAUAUACCAGACAACCAUAACCGAAAGCCAUGCCUGCAGAGACUGAACCAUAACCGAAGCCCAUGCCUGC
RNAcentral lists this long non-coding RNA (1458 nucleotides) under Malus domestica (apple). RNAcentral describes it as "long non-coding RNA (MDOM_LNC020141)". The record is from RNAcentral. Lineage: Eukaryota; Viridiplantae; Streptophyta; Magnoliopsida; Rosales; Rosaceae.